AUGGCAGAAGGGGGGAAUAGUGGGGGAAAAGGAGAAGGAGGAGAGAGAGAAGAAGACAAAAGAGGGGGCAGAAAAGUCGACGCCACAGCAAUCAUGCUCGUCGGGAUUGUGGCCACAAUUGUGUUCGGCAUUGAUGCCAAUGCACCGACCCUAGCCGUGAGCUCUGCAAAUCAGUCAUUCCCUCCAUCUUUGACCGUCCUAAUGAAUCCACAAACUCAGAGCACGCGAGAAGUCAAUGAAAAAAAAUAAAAAAUUAAGAGUUGAUAACCACUAAUUCCCCUUCAAAAAGAGCCAAUUGUAGUGCCUUGAAGAAGGUUAAAUGAUCAAAGAGGAGAGGUAACAGAAUAGAACAAGGACUCACACUAAAUUUCUCAAAUCAGUGUGAGAGGGAGAAGGGGAGAAGAGAGAGAGAGAGAGAAAGGGGAAAGGGGGAUGGAUAGCAGAAGGGGAGAAAAAUUGGGGGAAAAGGAGAAGGAGGAGAGAAGAAGAAGACAAAAGAGGGGGCAGAAAAGUCGACGCCACAGCAAUCAUGCUCAUCGGGAUUGUGGCCACAAUUGUGUUCAGCAUUGACGCCAAUGCCCCGACCCUAGCCGUGAGCUCUGCAAAUCAGUCAUUCCCUCCAUCUUGGACCGUCCUAAUGAAUCCACAUACUCAGAGCACACGAGAAGUCAAUGAAAAAAAAUAAAAAUUAAGAGUUGAUAACCACUAAUUCCCCUUCAAAAAGAGCCAAUUGUAGUGCCUUGAAGAAGGUUAAACGAUCAAAGAGGAGAGGUAACAGAAUAGAACAAGAACUCACACUAAAUUUCUCAAAACCCAGGAGGCAAAAUCAGUGUGAAAGGGAGAAGGGGAGGAGAGAGAGAGAGAGAGAGAGAGGGGGGGGAAGGGGGAUGGAUGGCAGAAGGGGGGAAAAGUGAGGGAAAAGGAGAAGGAGGAGAGAGAGAAGAAGACAAAAGAGGGGGCAGAAAAGUCGACGCCACAACAAUCAUGCUCGUCAGGAUUGUGGCCACAAUUGUGUUCAGCAUUGACGCUAAUGCACCAACCCUAACCGUGAGCUUUGCAAAUCAAUCAUUCCCUCCAUCUUUGACUGUCCUAAUGAAUCCAUAAACUCAGAGCACACGAGAAGUCAAUGAAAAAAAAAAUUAAGAGUUGAUAACCACUAAUUCCCCUUCAAAAAGAGCCCAAUUGUAGUGCCUUGAAGAAGGUUAAACGAUCAAAGAG
RNAcentral lists this long non-coding RNA (1218 nucleotides) under Eucalyptus grandis. RNAcentral describes it as "long non-coding RNA (EGRA_LNC005213)". The record is from RNAcentral. Lineage: Eukaryota; Viridiplantae; Streptophyta; Magnoliopsida; Myrtales; Myrtaceae.